UGGGGAAUAUUGCACAAUGGGCGCAAGCCUGAUGCAGCCAUGCCGCGUGUAUGAAGAAGGCCUUCGGGUUGUAAAGUACUUUCAGCGGGGAGGAAGGGGGUAAAGUUAAUACCUUUGCUCAUUGACGUUACCCGCAGAAGAAGCACCGGCUAACUCCGUGCCAGCAGCCGCGGUAAUACGGAGGGUGCAAGCGUUAAUCGGAAUUACUGGGCGUAAAGCGCACGCAGGCGGUUUGUUAAGUCAGAUGUGAAAUCCCCGGGCUCAACCUGGGAACUGCAUCUGAUACUGGCAAGCUUGAGUCUCGUAGAGGGGGGUAGAAUUCCAGGUGUAGCGGUGAAAUGCGUAGAGAUCUGGAGGAAUACCGGUGGCGAAGGCGGCCCCCUGGACGAAGACUGACGCUCAGGUGCGAAAGCGUGGGGAGCAAACAGG
RNAcentral lists this ribosomal RNA (429 nucleotides) under Chloroflexota bacterium. RNAcentral describes it as "Chloroflexi bacterium partial 16S ribosomal RNA". It matches the Rfam family "Bacterial small subunit ribosomal RNA", at positions 355 to 776 of the family's 1533-position model. Lineage: Bacteria; Bacillati; Chloroflexota. The record is from RNAcentral.